Molecule: ribosomal RNA, 253 nt
Filed under: uncultured bacterium
Lineage: Bacteria
Description: partial 16S ribosomal RNA
Rfam family: Bacterial small subunit ribosomal RNA
Source: RNAcentral
UACGUAGGUGACCAGCGUUGUCCGGAUUUACUGGGCGUAAAGAGCGCGCAGGCGGUCGUUCAAGUCGAGUGUGAAAGCCCCCGGCUCAACUGGGGAGGGUCACUCGAUACUGAUCGACUCGAAGGCAGGAGAGGGUAGUGGAAUUCCCGGUGUAGUGGUGAAAUUCGUAGAUAUGGGGAGGAACACCGGUGGCGAAGGCGGCCACCUGGACGGUAACUGACGCUGAGACGCGAAAGCGUGGGGAGCAAACAGG